This 513-nucleotide ribosomal RNA is filed under the name uncultured bacterium. Its description in RNAcentral is "partial 16S ribosomal RNA". It matches the Rfam family "Bacterial small subunit ribosomal RNA", at positions 28 to 523 of the family's 1533-position model. The record is from RNAcentral.
GACGAACGCUGGCGGCGUGCCUAAUACCUGCAAGUUGAGCGCUGAAGGUUGGUACUUGUACCGACUGGAUGAGCAGCGAACGGGUGAGUAACGCGUGGGGAAUCUGCCUUUGAGCGGGGGACAACCUUUGGAAACGAAUGCUAAUACCGCAUAAAACCUUUACACACAAGUUUUAAGUUUGAAAGCUGCAAUUGCAUCACUCAAAGAUGAUCCCGCAUUGUAUUAGCUAUUGGGUGGGGUAAAGGGUCACCAAGGCGAUGAUACAUAGCCGACCUGAGAGGGUGAUCGGCCACAUUGGGACUGAGACACGGCCCAAACUCCUACGGGAGGCAGCAGUAGGGAAUCUUCGGCAAUGGACGAAAGUCUGACCGAGCAACGCGGCGUGAGUGAAGAAGAUUUUCGGAUCGUAAAACUCUGUUGGUAGAGAAGAACGUUGGUGAGAGUGGAAAGCUCAUCAAGUGACGGUAACUACCCAGAAAGGGACGGCUAACUACCUGCCAGCAGCCGCCGUAA